UGUUCCUUGAGGUUGACAUCACCUCACGAAGGAAAUGACCCUUUCCAGGAAGCAUUUUUCAACCACUUAAUAUUGCCCCCGCCUCCCCGGGGAAGAAAAUAAACACGUUCUUCUCCAUUUAUGGUCUCGGCCUCUCACUCGCUUUCUCCAAUUCAGCUAACGAGCUACUACGAGAUAAUCUGACCGGCAACCUCGCAGAGGAAGGCGGAAUUACAUCACAGGCGCCGAAUGAUAUGUACCCUGAGCGGCCCGAGCGCCCACGCGAGACAUUUACACCUCGCGGCCUACCUUCGUACUGGUCCACACCGGUUUGGAGUUGCUUGAACAUAGGGACAGAUUGAGAGUGCAAGAGGGACCAGAAGACCAAAUCCCGCAGCCAAGGCAAUUCAGUGAAGCGGGAAGUCAAAAGCCAAAACAGCACGAUGACAUCAGCAACAGCGUUUCCACCUCGGCACCUGAAGGCUCACCAGGGCAGACGCCGACGUCCAGAAGCGCCGCAGCAGGCGUUUCUGCACCAGGCCGAGCGCACAACCCCCGGCUCGCCGCCGCAGGAGCCGCCGCAGCCUGGCGGACGGCCGGCGUUUGGCUCGCAGGCGCACCCGGUGGUUUUCGGGCCGCAGCCACUGGAAGCAGUACUGGCACACUGAUGUUUUGUCCAACGCAGCGGAUUCUGGAUUCUUUAUGUCUGAAAAAGGGGGCGUUCAAAAGUGUAGCAACUGGCAGGCGACAAUUCCAUGAUAUAAUGUUAGCCAUUAGCAGUAAACGGCGUGCCGCUCUUUGAGGCAACAGUCAUGAUUAUCACUUGGACGAGGCACUUGAGCGACACGUCGCUGGCGAGCGCUGCGGAUUUCGCUUGGCACGAGUCAGCGUGCGUGUUACAUCGCCGCCAAGACAGCUGGCACGGACUCCUGAGAGUUCCCCCCCCGCCCCACUCGUGAUAAACAGGGAAAUGUCAGUUAUUAACACACAUCUUCCUUGGUGGAGGUAACAUCUGUGAAAGGACUGCUGCUUCCAGGCCAGCAUCUUGAAGAAUUUUGUUUCCAGUGAGUCGACCGCUCGUAAACGAGCACGUUCGUAUUUACAUAUUUGUCAUGCAACUCCUUUUAAGUGCAUGUUUAGUCGGGAGAGAUGUUAUCGGCAGAGUGCUGAAAGACGGCGCUGUUGGCGGAAGGUCGCGUCCAACUUUUCCAGGAUGGGAAGAAUCACCGCACAUUUCCCGCCAGCAUACUUUUUUGGGGGGCAGAUUUAUUAUAACAAAGUAUGCGUGGCAGCGAUUGGCCACAAUCAUUGGGCGGCCCUCAUGUCAAUUGGGCUAGCAGCAAAAAUGGAACAGGCCUCCAAAAAUGUAUCAUUAUUAUUCGAUUAUUUUUUUUCACUGCCAAAUAUUGAAUUUGAUUUAUUACACGUAUUAGUCACCGAACGAAACAUUUCUAAUAUUAUUACGCCAAAAUGUAUUUUCAGAAAGACUUGUUUUAAUGAAUGUGCUUUUCUGUGACGUCACAACUAAGGCUGCUAUACACGGAUUGGCCACUCGGAGGCGCGAGAAACAAGCACGGAAAAACACGCGCUUUACUUGUUUAUUUAGCUGUGGUGUCUUUACACCAUCCCAACCAAAAGCAAUGCCACUGACGGUCGUGAGGGUGAAUUGUCGACGCGGUAAAUGUUGAGAAAUUGUCAUUUUCUUACAGGAAAAAUCGGGAUUCCUCAGGACAGCUUUCUUGAAACAGCAGGGACGCGUUUAGCCGAAACGCGUCCGACAAUUCCUUGUCAUCCGAGCUCAUUUUCCCACACGUAAACUCCUUUGGUGUGUUUCCGUGUUGGUCGUUUUCAUAAAUAAGCACAAUUAAACCAAACGAGUGAGGUAUGUAGCCAAUUAUUUCCGCAUAGUGGGCGUAGACGUGUGGAAACAGAGAACUAAGCUAAUGCUGACCGGAGAGGCACGUUCGGUCGCGAGGCAGUGACGUCAAAGGAGCGCGGUGAAUAAUGGGAAACUGAGUCCGAACCACUCCCAAAUGUCUUUUAUGAUUAAAAAUCAACAAAGGACCGCUAGUUCAAUCACAAGUAAUCAGCCUAUUUGAUCUCCAAACGGUAUAUAUAAUUUAAUAAGUGUGAAUAAAUACAUUUAAUUGACCCUGUAAGAGCGGUAACACAACUCAAGGUGUCGCUCUAACGUAUCCAAACUCACGGCGGACUCCCGAUGACACACUGCGGGGAGGAAAAAUGUGUCAUCGGCUAUUUUGAGGCAGCACUUUGGAGAAGGAGGAAGGUGAACCGUGCCGAUGUGCGUGCCAGAACACAAGCAAGUCAACCGCAAAGGCCCCGCUUGUGAGCUCAACCGACCGCGACGGAAAAUAGUUGCUAAACCAGAACAACUCUUUUUGGGGAAUGGAGUUUGGUCCGCAGUUGUAACAACACUAACAGCCGCUGUCUGGCUUCAUAAGAACUCGAACCGGUUCCAGAACAUCUGCAGACAAAAGUGACCGAAGCGGACACGAUGGAGACGCGUGAUGUCAUCCUCCUGCGGGGCUUCGCACAUUUCGCUCACUCACGCUGACACGCUGCACAAAGUGUGAUCGCUCCCGCGUGGCUUGAUGACUCAAAGCGUACCAUCAAUCAUCCGCAAAGAGCAAGGUCACAGCAUUAGUGUGGGGGAAAAAGAAAAAAAAAAAAAGUCAAAUAUUGUGCAGGAUGGAGCUUCUCUUAACUGUCUGAGAGAAGAUAAAUAAGAGAAUUAAGAAUCAUUUGUACUAUUUGGAGGACGAGCUGUUAAAUUUUGAUGGAGGUCAGAGUUACUGGAUGUUAUCAUUGACCUCGACUUUUGGAUAUUUUAUAUCAUAUUAUUUUAUGAUGACACCAUGUGCCGUGCAAAUCCAAUGAGAAAAACUGAAAUUGUGUCGUCCAUCUGCCUCGUAUAAGUGCUCUGAAUCUGUUAGCAAAGGGGCAAACUCUGUAGUUUGUUUUUGAAGGACCGCAGGAAGUGGCCAAAAUGACCCUGCAAUGGCUGCUUCAAAACAAAAUGGCAGACUUGCCGCGUGUGCCUUGAGACACUUUUGUUGGUCGACUCAUCACAGACAUGGCUACCAAAUUUCAUAUUGCUAAGUCAAACUGGCUUCGGGGGGGGCUGAAUUUUCCCAAAAUGCCGCGAUGUUUGUCGCUCCCGAACUCUUAUUCUCACCAGGAUCCAAAUGUCGAUUUCUUUGCACGCUCUGACUUAAACGAUCCGAAUGAAGCUUCACCCACUUUUGUGUUCACUUCAGGACGACUGCAGCAGCAUUCAGAACGACAGAGAACAAAGCGGCUUAUUCACAGACUCACACGGGCUCUUCUAUCACUAAGGGAAUAAUAAGUAAGGAGCCCAAUAAGCCGGGAAUAUAUAUAUAUAUAUAUAUAUAUAUAUAUAUAUAUUUAAAAAAAUAUGCGUAUUUCAGCAACCGCAGUGGAGUUCAAGUGAAUGCGUCCCUCUGCUUGUCUGUGUAGAAUUUCUUCUGCUCCCUUUGUCCUUCACCUCCUCCGAUGUGGUCCGAGUUGUCCUCAAUGGACGUUGGACUUACCUUAGCAAGCCGCAAUAGUACAGAGCGGACAGUCGGGGGCCAAUAAACCACCAAAAAGGUUGUUUUGUGUGUGGAUGUUACAACGUUUGUAACCAAACACUUUGCUACAGUCCUCAUUUGUUACUGUCUUAGGGUUUCCAUUUUUGGCAUUUUCUCUCGAGACCAUUUUCAUCAUUAACCUUCUUCUUGAGGCAAUUUGGGCCACAGAAGCAUUUUUGUUCUUUUUUUUUUGUGUGCAGGCUUUCUUCCUAAACGAGGCUUGCUUUCGCCUUCGCGCCAGUGAUGAAUGAGGUGUCAGCGUCCUUUAACGCACCCCAUUAGUUGAGUUUUCCCGCGGAAAUAUAUCGGAUCCGUAGUCGUUCAUCCUCGUCAAUGUUGAGAUUUGUUUUGGGUGGUACAGAAGCUGCUGGAUCUUCUUCAAUUUUGAAUCAUUUAUUACUCACGUCCACAUCCCGUAGCGAAAAUAGACGACGCGUCAUAAACACUUUUCAUCAAAAAACACAGACACAGAAAGACUGCCAUUUUGGUUUGAAGAGGUCAUCGUAGGGUCAUUUUGACCAUUUCCAGGCUUCCUUUCAAGACAAUUACCCUAAUUUAUCGUCUAUAAUGCGCCACCCCCUCCACCUAAAACCAACUGUCAAAAGUCAAUAGUGCGCAUUAUACAUGGGUAUAGGGGGGAAAGGGACGUUUAAAUUUUAUAAAUGCAUGCGGCCAUCUAGAGGUUAUGAAAAUACUGUACACUUUCAUUCUCAUAUGCCACCGCCCCCUAGAGGUUAUGAAAAAGGUGUAGCUUACACUUUCAUUCUAAUAUGACAGGGGUACAUAUGACUGCAUAUAUGUACAAUUGUGCUCAUAAGUUUACAUACCCAGGCAGAAUUUGUGAAGUAUCGUUUUUUAUUAUUAUUAUUUUUUUAAAAACACGAUUGAUGACUGAAAAACAACCCUCAUUAAUUUCUUUCUGGUUAUGUUUUGUUUAAUGAUAAUGCUUUUCUGAAAUGCUUGUCAGUUUAAUUUGAAUCCCAUUAAAAUUAAAAUUUAAUGUUUCGCCUGGUCUUUCAUGUUUUCUUUAAAGAAUUGUACACAUCUUACAAAUUCUGCCUGGGUAAUCAAACAUGAGCACAACUGUGUGUUUUCUCAUUUACUAAAUAAAAGUAGGGCUGUGGAUUUCAAAAUAAGAGCAAGUAAAUAAAAAGAAAGUAUUGUGUCCAAAUAAAUUGAACUUCAAUAUAAUUAUUUGAAAAAAUAAAAUACAGAUACUUCAUGUUUUGAUCACAUGGGUAGAAGCAAAGUCAUGCAUUGUAAACAUGCAUUAUACAUAGGGUGAAGGGUUUUCCAGAAUUUUGAGGUCAACUUUGGGGGUGCGUAUUAUACACGGGUGCACAUUAUACACGAGAAAUUACGGCACUCACUAUUACGCACAAAACUCUAAUAACGCACUGCCAAAAGAUAAAGAU
Long non-coding RNA from Phycodurus eques (leafy seadragon), 5005 nucleotides. RefSeq lists it as uncharacterized. Lineage: Eukaryota; Metazoa; Chordata; Actinopteri; Syngnathiformes; Syngnathidae. The record is from RefSeq and is a predicted model, not a curated record. The transcript is spliced from 5 exons.